GGUUAAGCGACUAAGCGUACACGGUGGAUGCCCUGGCAGUCAGAGGCGAUGAAGGACGUGCUAAUCUGCGAAAAGCGUCGGUAAGGUGAUAUGAACCGUUAUAACCGGCGAUGUCCGAAUGGGGAAACCCAGUGCAAUUCGUUGCACUAUCGUUAACUGAAUACAUAGGUUAACGAGGCGAACCGGGGAACUGAAACAUCUAAGUACCCCGAGGAAAAGAAAUCAACCGAGAUUCCCCCAGUAGCGGCGAGCGAACGGGGAGCAGCCCAGAGUCUGAAUCAGCUUGUGUGUUAGUGGAACGGUCUGGAAAGUCCGACGGUACAGGGUGAUAGUCCCGUACACCAAAAUGCACAGGUUGUGAACUCGAAGAGUAGGGCGGGACACGUGGUAUCCUGUCUGAAUAUGGGGGGACCAUCCUCCAAGGCUAAAUACUCCUGACUGACCGAUAGUGAACCAGUACCGUGAGGGAAAGGCGAAAAGAACCCCGGCGAGGGGAGUGAAAAAGAACCUGAAACCGUGUACGUACAAGCAGUGGGAGCACCUUCGGGUGUGACUGCGUACCUUUUGUAUAAUGGGUCAGCGACUUAUAUUCUGUAGCAAGGUUAACCGUAUAGGGGAGCCGCAGGGAAACCGAGUCUUAACUGGGCGUUAAGUUGCAGGGUAUAGACCCGAAACCCGGUGAUCUAGCCAUGGGCAGGUUGAAGGUUGGGUAACACUAACUGGAGGACCGAACCGACUAAUGUUGAAAAAUUAGCGGAUGACUUGUGGCUGGGGGUGAAAGGCCAAUCAAACCGGGAGAUAGCUGGUUCUCCCCGAAAGCUAUUUAGGUAGCGCCUCGUGAAUUCAUCUUCGGGGGUAGAGCACUGUUUCGGCUAGGGGGUCAUCCCGACUUACCAACCCGAUGCAAACUACGAAUACCGAAGAAUGUUAUCACGGGAGACACACGGCGGGUGCUAACGUCCGUCGUGAAGAGGGAAACAACCCAGACCGCCAGCUAAGGUCCCAAAGUCAUGGUUAAGUGGGAAACGAUGUGGGAAGGCACAGACAGCCAGGAUGUUGGCUUAGAAGCAGCCAUCAUUUAAAGAAAGCGUAAUAGCUCACUGGUCGAGUCGGCCUGCGCGGAAGAUGUAACGGGGCUAAACCAUGCACCGAAGCUGCGGCAGCGACACUAUGUGUUGUUGGGUAGGGGAGCGUUCUGUAAGCCUGCGAAGGUGUGCUGUGAGGCAUGCUGGAGGUAUCAGAAGUGCGAAUGCUGACAUAAGUAACGAUAAAGCGGGUGAAAAGCCCGCUCGCCGGAAGACCAAGGGUUCCUGUCCAACGUUAAUCGGGGCAGGGUGAGUCGACCCCUAAGGCGAGGCCGAAAGGCGUAGUCGAUGGGAAACAGGUUAAUAUUCCUGUACUUGGUGUUACUGCGAAGGGGGGACGGAGAAGGCUAUGUUAGCCGGGCGACGGUUGUCCCGGUUUAAGCAUGUAGGCUGAUUAUCCAGGCAAAUCCGGAUAAUCAAGGCUGAGGUGUGAUGACGAGGCACUACGGUGCUGAAGUAACAAAUGCCCUGCUUCCAGGAAAAGCCUCUAAGCAUCAGGUAACAUCAAAUCGUACCCCAAACCGACACAGGUGGUCAGGUAGAGAAUACCAAGGCGCUUGAGAGAACUCGGGUGAAGGAACUAGGCAAAAUGGUGCCGUAACUUCGGGAGAAGGCACGCUGGUGUGUAGGUGAAGCCCCUGCGGGUGGAGCUGAGACCAGUCGAAGAUACCAGCUGGCUGCAACUGUUUAUUAAAAACACAGCACUGUGCAAACACGAAAGUGGACGUAUACGGUGUGACGCCUGCCCGGUGCCGGAAGGUUAAUUGAUGGGGUUAUCCGUAAGGAGAAGCUCUUGAUCGAAGCCCCGGUAAACGGCGGCCGUAACUAUAACGGUCCUAAGGUAGCGAAAUUCCUUGUCGGGUAAGUUCCGACCUGCACGAAUGGCGUAAUGAUGGCCAGGCUGUCUCCACCCGAGACUCAGUGAAAUUGAACUCGCUGUGAAGAUGCAGUGUACCCGCGGCAAGACGGAAAGACCCCGUGAACCUUUACUAUAGCUUGACACUGAACAUUGAGCCUUGAUGUGUAGGAUAGGUGGGAGGCUUUGAAGCGUGGACGCCAGUCUGCGUGGAGCCAACCUUGAAAUACCACCCUUUAAUGUUUGAUGUUCUAACGUUGGCCCCUGACCGGGGUUGCGGACAGUGUCUGGUGGGUAGUUUGACUGGGGCGGUCUCCUCCCAAAGCGUAACGGAGGAGCACGAAGGUUAGCUAAUCCUGGUCGGACAUCAGGAGGUUAGUGCAAUGGCAUAAGCUAGCUUGACUGCGAGCGUGACGGCGCGAGCAGGUGCGAAAGCAGGUCAUAGUGAUCCGGUGGUUCUGAAUGGAAGGGCCAUCGCUCAACGGAUAAAAGGUACUCCGGGGAUAACAGGCUGAUACCGCCCAAGAGUUCAUAUCGACGGCGGUGUUUGGCACCUCGAUGUCGGCUCAUCACAUCCUGGGGCUGAAGUAGGUCCCAAGGGUAUGGCUGUUCGCCAUUUAAAGUGGUACGCGAGCUGGGUUUAGAACGUCGUGAGACAGUUCGGUCCCUAUCUGCCGUGGGCGCUGGAGAAUUGAGGGGGGCUGCUCCUAGUACGAGAGGACCGGAGUGGACGCAUCACUGGUGUUCGGGUUGUCAUGCCAAUGGCACUGCCCGGUAGCUAAAUGCGGAAGAGAUAAGUGCUGAAAGCAUCUAAGCACGAAACUUGCCCCGAGAUGAGUUCUCCCUGAGACUUUAAGUCUCCUGAAGGAACGUUGAAGACGACGACGUUGAUAGGCCGGGUGUGUAAGCGCAGCGAUGCGUUGAGCUAACCGGUACUAAUGAACCGUGAGGCUUAACCUU
Molecule: ribosomal RNA, 2901 nt
Filed under: Klebsiella pneumoniae
Lineage: Bacteria; Pseudomonadati; Pseudomonadota; Gammaproteobacteria; Enterobacterales; Enterobacteriaceae
Description: 23S ribosomal RNA
Rfam family: Bacterial large subunit ribosomal RNA
Source: RNAcentral